UACGUAGGGUGCAAGCGUUGUCCGGAAUUAUUGGGCGUAAAGAGCUCGUAGGCGGCUCGUCGCGUCGGCUGUGAAAACCUGAGGCUCAACCUCAGGCCUGCAGUCGAUACGGGCGGACUUGAGUACUGCAGGGGAGACUGGAAUUCCUGGUGUAGCGGUGAAAUGCGCAGAUAUCAGGAGGAACACCGGUGGCGAAGGCGGGUCUCUGGGCAGUAACUGACGCUGAGGAGCGAAAGCGUGGGGAGCGAACAGG
RNAcentral lists this ribosomal RNA (253 nucleotides) under uncultured bacterium. Its description in RNAcentral is "partial 16S ribosomal RNA". It matches the Rfam family "Bacterial small subunit ribosomal RNA", at positions 524 to 776 of the family's 1533-position model. The record is from RNAcentral.